This 254-nucleotide ribosomal RNA is filed under the name uncultured bacterium. Its description in RNAcentral is "partial 16S ribosomal RNA". It matches the Rfam family "Bacterial small subunit ribosomal RNA", at positions 524 to 776 of the family's 1533-position model. The record is from RNAcentral.
UACGUAGGUGGCAAGCGUUGUCCGGAAUUAUUGGGCGUAAAGCGCGCGCAGGCGGUCCUUUAAGUCUGAUGUGAAAGCCCACGGCUCAACCGUGGAGGGUCAUUGGAAACUGGGGGACUUGAGUGCAGAAGAGGAAAGCGGAAUUCCACGUGUAGCGGUGAAAUGCGUAGAGAUGUGGAGGAACACCAGUGGCGAAGGCGGCUUUCUGGUCUGUAACUGACGCUGAGGCGCGAAAAGCGUGGGGAGCGAACAGG